UAGAGUCAGAGGUGGGUAGCCUUCAAUCACUAGAGAAAGAGGUAAUACCAGAGGACAGUCCAGAAGCAGAAAAUGGUAAUGAUGAACACAAAGAGGAGGCAAUACCUUUCACAGAAGCCGAUCUUGAGCCAGUGGAUGCUUCCAAAACCAAACAUGUUCAAGAACCAGAAGUAUUACAAGCACCCACAUUAGAAUCAGAGGUGGGUAGCCUUCCAUCAAUUGAAAAAGAGGUAAAAUCAGAGGAUACACCAGAAGCAGAAACCGUUACAGAUGAACCCAGGGAGGAGACAAAACCUCCCAUUACAGUCAACUCUUUUGAGCCAGAGGAUGCUUCCAAAACCGAACAUGUUCAAGAACCAGAAGUAUUAGAGGUUGUUCAAGUGGCUACAUUAGAUUCAGAGGAGGAAGGCAAUCUUGAAAAAACAAAACCUCCCAUUACAGUCAAUUUUGAUGCUUCCAAAACUGAACAUGUUCGUGAACCAGAAGUAUUAGAGGCUGUUCCAUCAGCCACAUCAGAGUCAGAGGUGGGUAGCCUUCCAUCAAUUGAAAAAGAGGUCAAAUCAGAGGAUACACCAGAAGCAGAAACCGUUACAGAUGAACCCAGGGAAGAGACAAAACCUCCCAUUACAGUCAAUUUUGAUGCUUCCAAAACAGAACAUGUUCAAGAACCAGAAGUAUUAGAAGCUGUUCAAGCAGCCACAUUAGAUUCAGCAGAGGGCAGUGUUCAAUCACUUGAAAAAGAGAUAAUAUCAGUAGAAGUUCCCGGAGCAAAAACUGUUACAGAUGAACCCAAAGAGAAGACUAUACCUCUCACUGAAGCCGAUCUUGAGCCAGAGAAUGCUUUCAAAACAGUUGGAGAACCAGAAGUAGUACAAGCAGCCACAUCAGAUUCAGAGGCACGUAGCCUUCUAUCAAUUAAAAAAGAGGUAAAAUCAGAGGCUACACCAGCAGUGGAAACAGUUACAGAAGAGCCCAAAAAGGAAGCUGAUGUUAAGAUAGAAGAAAAACUAGUAGUAGUAGACACUGCCAAAACCAAACAUGUUCAAGAACCAGAAGUAUUACAAGCUGCCACAUCAGAUUCAGAGGUGGGUAGCCUUCUAUCGCUUGAAAAAGAGGUGAAAUCAGAGGACAGUCCAGAAGAAGAAAAUGGUAAAGAUGAACCCAAAGGAGAAGCAAUACCUCUCACUGAAGCCGAUCUUGAGCCAGUGGAUGCUUCCAAAACAGAACAUGUUCAAAAACCAGAAGUAUUAAAGGUUGUUCAAGUGGCUACAUUAGAUUCAGAGGCGGAAGCCAAUCUUGAAAAAACUGAACAUGUUCGAGAACCAGAAGUAAUACAAGCACCCACAUCAGAGUCAGAGGUGGGUAGCCUUCUAUCGCUUGAAAAAGAGGUAAAAUCAGAGGAUACAAUAGAAGCAGAAACCGUUACAGAUGAACCCAGGGAGGAGACAAAACCUCCCAUUACAGUCAAUUGUGAUGCUUCCAAAACAGAACAUGUUCAAGAACCAGAAGUAUUAGAAGCUGUUCAAGCAGCCACAUUAGAUUCAGCAGAGGGCAGUGUUCAAUCACUUGAAAAAGAGAUAAUAUCAGAAGAAGUUCCCGGAACAAAAACUGUUACAGUUGAACCCAAAGAGAAAACAAUACCUCUCACUGAAGCCGAUCUUGAGCAAGAGAAUGCUUUCAAAACAGUUGGAGAACCAGACGUAUUACAAGCUAUACAAUCACCCACGUCAGAUUCAGAGGCAGGUAGCCUUCUAUCAAUUGAAAAAGAGGUAAAAUCAGAGGAUACACCAGCAGUGGAAACAGUUACAGGAGAGCCCAAAAAGGAAACUAAAGUUGAGUCAGAAGAAAAACUACAUUUUCAAGAGCAAGAAGUAUUCCCAUUGGAUGUAAAAGACAUUGAAACUGAAACCA
Long non-coding RNA from Cottoperca gobio, 1911 nucleotides. The record is from Ensembl. Lineage: Eukaryota; Metazoa; Chordata; Actinopteri; Perciformes; Bovichtidae.